AGUGAACGCUGGCGGUAGGCCUAACACAUGCAAGUCGAACGGCAGCACAGUAAGAGCUUGCUCUUACGGGUGGCGAGUGGCGGACGGGAGAGGAAUACAUCGGAAUCUACUUUUUCGUGGGGGAUAACGUAGGGAAACUUACGCUAAUACCGCAUACGACCUACGGGUGAAAGCAGGGGAUCUUCGGACCUUGCGCGAUUGAAUGAGCCGAUGUCGGAUUAGCUAGUUGGCGGGGUAAAGGCCCACCAAGGCGACGAUCCGUAGCUGGUCUGAGAGGAUGAUCAGCGACACUGGAACUGGGACACGGUCCAGACUCCUAAGGGAGGCAGCAGUGGGGAAUGUUGGACAAUGGGCGCAAGCCUGAUCCAGCCAUACCGCGUGGGUGAAGAAGGCCUUCGGGUUGUAAAGCCCUUUUGUUGGGAAAGAAAAGCAGCAGGUUAAUACCCCGCUGUUCUGACGGUACCCAAAGAAUAAGCACCGGCUAACUUCGUG
Molecule: ribosomal RNA, 492 nt
Filed under: uncultured bacterium
Lineage: Bacteria
Description: partial 16S ribosomal RNA
Rfam family: Bacterial small subunit ribosomal RNA
Source: RNAcentral